UCUGGAUGCGAGGCGGCCAGCAGACACCAAGCGUAAUGUCGGAAUCGUCGGAAUACGAAAGUGACGUCGCGUCGCUUCCAAGCGAUUCUGAGGACUACAGCUCCGAAGAAAUUGUGCUCGACGACGACCCUUAUUCCACAGACCCUCUACCACUUGACCCUGCUGCAGGUCGUGCUGCAGGUGAAGGUGCAGCCAGUGAAAGCGAGCCGUCCGAUAGCGACGACACUUUCAGAUGCCUCUGCACUCGCUGCAGUCCAGUGGAACCCGAUGAACGCCGGUGCUGCAGUUCUGUUGAUCGGGUGUCGGCUGUCUGUGAGGGUGCCGGGGUCAAUUGUAUCACCGAUCACCCACUCUUCAAUGACAUUUGUCUGCGGAGGGAGCUCCUGGUUGUUUAUGCACCAGUGUUUUGCCGUGAUGACCGUCGCAUGCGUGUUCUCGAGCCAUCUGACAAUAGACGUCUCCGAUACAGCGCGUAUUGCGCGUUCACAACAUGGAUUCAUGGAUACCUUGGGAUAAGAAACCGAAGGCAGAUUCCAGGAUGUGCUGUUCGAAGAAUCAGGACGUUGUUCCCGUCAGUUUCAUAUACGGGAUACUACGAGUAACACCAGGCAUAUCUCCCAUGUGUCAUAUAUUGUAACAUACUUCACUUUUCAUAACACCUUUCAAAUUCAACUCGUGCAGCAGGGUGUUUGCUCUAAUUAACGUGUCCAGAGGUUUUAUCUAAAACGAGUGCUACUUUUGAGCUAC
Ornithodoros turicata is the source of this 747-nucleotide long non-coding RNA. RefSeq lists it as uncharacterized. NCBI's taxonomy places the organism in Eukaryota, Metazoa, Arthropoda, Arachnida, Ixodida, Argasidae. The transcript is spliced from 3 exons. The record is from RefSeq and is a predicted model, not a curated record.